Long non-coding RNA from Ctenopharyngodon idella (grass carp), 3143 nucleotides. RefSeq lists it as uncharacterized. The record is from RefSeq and is a predicted model, not a curated record. Lineage: Eukaryota; Metazoa; Chordata; Actinopteri; Cypriniformes; Xenocyprididae. The transcript is spliced from 3 exons.
ACUUUACAGUAUUAUCGCAAUAGUAAUAUUUAUUGAUGUAUUUUUUUAUAAUAAAUGAAUAAAAUAUUCUUCUUAAUAAUAAUAAAAUAAUACUUUUUAUUAUUUUUAUUGUAUAGUCAUAUUAACUAGGGGGAAAAGUUUUCCUUAUUUUUAGUUCUUAGCCAAUCACAUGCCUCUGUUGUUACGAGAUCACCACUGUUUUUAUCUUUGCUAAAUCUGUAUAUUUUUACAGCAUUUUCUGGAAGUCUGACAGGAAUACAGCAAGCAAAACGGUUUGUUCACAACUCUUUAUGACUGUGCCGAAUCUCUCGGCUCGUUACUUUUCGUCUCAAACCACGAUUAAUAGUUGAAGUUUUGUGUUUGUCCUCAGUUUCACCGGGAGCGAGAACUGCUGGAGUGCAUCUGAUAAUCAAAGACACAUUUGAAAGAUUUCAUUAGUGAUUUAUAAUGGCUUUGGUCUCUUUCCAUGAUCGUAAGGGCUGCUGGGAAGGCAGUUUAUUAUGAGGAGCGUUUAAGGCAAGAAUCACUAAUACUGUCGCCAAGUAUUAAAGCUCAGCAUGUACAUCGUCAUCUCAGCAUGUACAGUGUAAUCUGACAGAUGUGUUAUGGGUAAAUGUUUAGUUUUUAAUUAACUAUAAUCUAACGAACAGGUGUUUCACACAUUUCUGCCUCCGUUUCUUAAAGACUGCAGCGUUUCAGCGUUGGCAUUGAGCUGCAGUUACUCCAUAUGGUGCCGUCGUCAGGAGAUAUAAACAAGGAGGACGAGGGAAAGUAGGACGCUCUAUUGAGGACGAGCUGGUGAAGGUGGGCAGUGCAGAAGACUGACCUGGAUUACUGCACACAAACCCAUGAGAGAUGAAACCAGCAGACCUGCAGCGCGUCCGUCAGAGACUCACGUCAACCUCUCGCUCGCUUUCUAGAGCUUUCUCUCUUCUGUUUGACCCAGAAAGAGUCUCGUCUCUUUCUUAAACUUCAGGACCUUUUAAAAUUAAUAUGAACUGCCUUUAAACUAUGAAGACAUUUAGUUUAAACUAGUGCUGUCAAAUCAAUUAACCUUGAUUAAUCGCAUCUAAUAUUAACUGUUUAAACUAGGAAGAUAUUUAAACUAGUGCAGACAAAUCGAUUAAUCAUGAUUAAUCGCAUCUAAUAUUAAACUAUGAAUACAAUUAGUUUAAACUAGUGCCGUCAAAUCGAUUAUUCACGAUAAAUCGCAUCUAAUAUUAACUGUUUAAACUAGGAAGAUAUUUAAACUAGUGCAGACAAAUCGAUUAAUCAUGAUUAAUCGCAUCUAAUAUUAAACUAUGAAUACAAUUAGUUUAAACUAGUGCCGUCAAAUCGAUUAUUCACGAUAAAUCGCAUCUAAUAUUAACUGUUUUUAAACUAUGAAGACGUUUAGUUUAAACUAGUGCCGUCAAAUCGAUUAAUGCCGAUAAAUCGCAUCUAAUAUUAACCGUUUUUAAACUAUGAAGAUGUUUAGUUUAAAGUAGUGCCGUCAAAUCGAUUAAUCGCGAUAAAUCGCAUCUAAUAUUAACCGUUUUUAAACUAUGAAGACAUUUAGUUUAAAGUAGUGCCGUCAAAUCGAUUAAUGGCGAUAAAUCGCAUCUAAUAUUAACCGUUUUUAAACUAUGAAGACGUUUAGUUUAAACUAGUGCCGUCGAAUCGAUUAUUCGCGAUAAAUCGCAUCUAAUAUUAACCGUUUUUAAACUAUGAAGACGUUUAGUUUAAAGUAGUGCUGUCAAAUCGAUUAAUGGCGAUAAAUCGCAUCUAAUAUUAACCGUUUUUAAACUAUGAAGACGUUUAGUUUAAAAAAAGUGCCGUCAAAAAGAUUAAUCGCGAUAAAUCGCAUCUAAUAUUAACCGUUUUUAAACUAUGAAGACAUUUAGUUUAAAGUAGUGCCGUCAAAUCGAUUAAUCGCGAUAAAUCGCAUCUAAUAUUAACCGUUUUUAAACUAUGAAGACGUUUAGUUUAAACUAGUGCCGUCAAAUCGAUUAAUCGUGAUUAAUCGCAUCUAAUAUUAACUGUUUUAAACUAUGAAGACGUUUAAUUUAAAGUAGUGCUGUCAAAUCGAUUAAUCGCAAUAAAUCGCAUCUAAUAUUAACUGUUUUAAACUAUGAAGACGUUUAGUUUAAACUAGUGCCGUCAAAUUGAUUAAUCGCGAUAAAUCGCAUCUAAUAUUAAGUAUUUUUAAACUAUGAAGACGUUUAGUUUAAACUAGUGCUGUCAAAUCGAUUAAUGGCGAUAAAUCGCAUCUAAUAUUAACCGUUUUUAAACUAUGAAGACGUUUAGUUUAAACUAGUGCCGUCAAAAAGAUUAAUCGCGAUAAAUCGCAUCUAAUAUUAACCGAUUUUAAACUGCGAAGAUAUUUAGUUUAAACUAGUGCUGUCAAAUCGAUUAAUCGCAAUAAAUCGCAUCUAAUAUUAACCGUUUUUAAACUAUGAAGACAUUUAGUUUAAAGUAGUGCUGUCAAAUCGAUUAUUCGCAAUAAAUCACAUCUAAUAUUAACCGUUUUUAAACUAUGAAGACGUUUAGUUUAAACUAGUGCCGUCAAAUCGAUUAUUCGCGAUAAAUCGCAUCUAAUAUUAACCGAUUUUAAACUGCGAAGAUAUUUAGUUUAAACUAGUGCCGUCAAAUCGAUUAAUUGCAAUAAAUCGCAUCUAAUAUUAAGUGUUUUUAAACUAUGAAGACGUUUAGUUUAAACUAGUGCCGUCAAAUAGAUUAAUCACGAAAAAUCACAUCUAAUGUUAACCGUUUUUAAACAUCUCUAUUUCUGUUUCUCAGGCAGAUCAGAGUGAAUCAUCCAACACAAGACGCUCUUGUAUCUCACGCUGCACACAGAUGCUCCUGAAAGCCUGGAGAAAGCAAACGUAAAGCUUCUGCUGUGUUCGCAGUAAAUGAUGCGUCUCACACACAAUCAAUAACCUGACGUGGAUUUAAAGUGCAAAGACUAAACUUGCUCAGGCAGAUGAUGGAAAAAAUGAGGGUGAAGUCUGAAAUAUGAAUAUGACAGUCGUUGAGGAUGGCGGCGAGUUUCUUGGUGCCGCUGUGGAGUCUCUGGGCCGGGACGGCGGGGUUCGGGUCCCUCCAGUCGACGGAGAGCCGGUGGAGCCACAUGUGUGCGUCCUGCAGGUGAGCUCCUCUGAUAC